AUGCUGCCACGUGCAGCUCCGAGUGGAAGCUCUGCUGGCCCUCGGCGUCCCCAGCCUGCGGAGGGAAGGCUCCGGGGCUCAGCACCUGAGCUGGCAGGAUGCGGGCAGGAGCCCUGUCCUGCUGAGCAGGGGGAGCUGCUGCCCCCCCAGGUACCCACCGACCACUCGUUCGCCGUCCCCUCCAGCCCGGCUUUCUCGGUGCCGUGCGAGCCACCCGGCGCUGGGAGCUGCGGGGGGGAGGGAGGAGAGGGGUCGGUGGGGGCACGGGGAGCAGGAGGCACCCCCUUGGUGCUCGCCCCCCGCUCCGCCGAGCCGUCCCCUCUCCUCUCCCUUAGCCUCAGCGUAGGCACUGAGCGUGGCCGCUCCGCUGGAGCCCUGCAAGGGAGGGAUUCCCCGCAAAGGCUGCGAGAGCCCGGGGCCACCAUCCUGCCCGGAGCUGGGCUCCCACCUUCCUGUAGCCGCUGGGGUGCUCGAAGACGAAGCGCUGCAUCCGCCUCUGCCGCUGCUGGAAGAGCUGGGAGCCGCGGUUGGUGCUCAGGGAGAGCUCCUCCAGCAUCACGUCCUGCGGCGUGCUCACCUUCUUGCCCAGGUCCAGCCGGGGCGCUGGGGACACCAGGGGAGAGGAUGGGACGGCUGCUGGGGGGCCCCUCGCACGGUCUGGUGGCAGUCCCUGUGCCCCCCCACCACCACCAGCACCGCUUACCAUCUCCAGGGUCUGGUUUCAUGAUGGUCAUCGCCUGCUGCCACGCUCCUGGGGCAGGGCUACGAGGUGGGGACGGCUCCUGGCCGGCUGCAAGAGAGAGAUGGCCGUGGGUGAUGGCUGGGAACGGGGACACGCCAGUCCCCGGUGUGCCACAGGGGCUGCCAGGCUGUCCCCACCCGGCAGCAGUGCCUGGGGUCACCUCUCUUCCCUGCCGCGGGUGCUUGGGGGCUCCCCGCAGCAGCCCCUGGGGAUGUGCAGGGCCCAGGGGUGCCCCCAUUAACCCGUGGGUGAGAGCAGAGUCGUGUCUGUGCGCACAGCGCCUUGGGGUGCUCGCGCUCCGUGUCCCCCAGCCCAUCUCUGCUGUUGUCACCCUCUCAUCUCACCCCCACCAGAGCCCCUCGGGACGCUCAGCACCACCCCGUGCCCGUCAUCUUCCCUCUUUGCCGUUCUUUAGGGCAGAAAACGCCCCCAGCAUCGUCCCUGCCUGCAGCGAGCGGUGUCCCCGGGGCUGA
Molecule: long non-coding RNA, 1215 nt
Filed under: Anser cygnoides (Swan goose)
Lineage: Eukaryota; Metazoa; Chordata; Aves; Anseriformes; Anatidae
Description: lncRNA (ENSACDG00005000709.1)
Source: RNAcentral